Molecule: ribosomal RNA, 855 nt
Filed under: Nigrograna lancangensis
Lineage: Eukaryota; Fungi; Ascomycota; Dothideomycetes; Pleosporales; Nigrogranaceae
Description: Nigrograna sp. GCR-2022a partial large subunit ribosomal RNA
Rfam family: Eukaryotic large subunit ribosomal RNA
Source: RNAcentral
AACAGGGAUUGCCCUAGUAACGGCGAGUGAAGCGGCAACAGCUCAAAUUUGAAAUCUGGCCCUUUCAGGGUCCGAGUUGUAAUUUGUAGAGGGCGCUUUGGUGUUGGCUGCGGUCUAAGUUCCUUGGAACAGGACGUCACAGAGGGUGAGAAUCCCGUACGUGGUCGACAGUCUUCACCGUGUAAAGCCCCUUCGACGAGUCGAGUUGUUUGGGAAUGCAGCUCUAAAUGGGAGGUAAAUUUCUUCUAAAGCUAAAUAUUGGCCAGAGACCGAUAGCGCACAAGUAGAGUGAUCGAAAGAUGAAAAGCACUUUGGAAAGAGAGUCAAAAAGCACGUGAAAUUGUUGAAAGGGAAGCGCUUGCAACCAGACUUGCCUGUAGUUGCUCAUCCAGUCUUCUGACCGGUGCACUCUUCUGUAGGCAGGCCAGCAUCAGUUCGGGCGGCUAGAUAAAGACCUCUAUCACGUAUCUUCCUUCGGGAUGACCUUAUAGGGGAGGUGUAAUGUAGCCAGCCUGGAUUGAGGUCCGCGCAUCUGCUAGGAUGCUGGCGUAAUGGUUGUAAGCGGCCCGUCUUGAAACACGGACCAAGGAGUCUAACAUCUAUGCGAGUAUUUGGGUGUAAAGCCCGGAUGCGCAAUGAAAGUGAACGGAGGUGGGAACCCUUACGGGUGCACCAUCGACCGAUCCUGAUGUCUUCGGAUGGAUUUGAGUAAGAGCAUAGCUGUUGGGACCCGAAAGAUGGUGAACUAUGCCUGAAUAGGGUGAAGCCAGAGGAAACUCUGGUGGAGGCUCGCAGCGGUUCUGACGUGCAAAUCGAUCGUCAAAUUUGGGCAUAGGGGCGAAAGACUAAUCGAAC